AUUGAACGCUGGCGGCAUGCUUUACACACGCAAGUCGAACGGUAACAGGCCUUCGGGUGCUGACGAGUGGCGAACGGGUGAGUAAUGCAUCGGAACGUGCCCAGGGGUGGGGGAUAACGCAGCGAAAGCUGUGCUAAUACCGCAUGUGAUCUGAGGAUGAAAGCGGGGGACCAGGCAGCAAUGUUUGGCCUCGCGCCUUUGGAGCGGCCGAUGUCAGAUUAGGUAGUUGGUGGGGUAAAGGCCUACCAAGCCGACGAUCUGUAGCUGGUCUGAGAGGACGACCAGCCACACUGGGACUGAGACACGGCCCAGACUCCUACGGGAGGCAGCAGUGGGGAAUUUUGGACAAUGGGCGCAAGCCUGAUCCAGCAAUGCCGCGUGCGGGAAGAAGGCCUUCGGGUUGUAAACCGCUUUUGUACGGAACGAAAAGGCUCUGGCUAAUACCUGGGGCUGAUGACGGUACCGUAAGAAUAAGCACCGGCUAACUACGUG
This 492-nucleotide ribosomal RNA is filed under the name uncultured bacterium. RNAcentral describes it as "partial 16S ribosomal RNA". It matches the Rfam family "Bacterial small subunit ribosomal RNA", at positions 30 to 507 of the family's 1533-position model. The record is from RNAcentral.